UUUGAACUAGCGAUAAGGCCUACUUCAGUUUUUAAUAACUUGACUGAAAAGGAAGGUUAUCAAUCUUUUUAUCAAAUUCUAAGACCCCUUCUCAACCAACCGCUUCCUUUCAAUUCAGACUUUUUUAAGCUUGCCGAUCUAAUAGAGGACGUUAAGGGUUUUGAUGGGCAGGAAGUCAAUCUUUUAUUGUUAGUCUCAAGGUUGCCGCAGCUUUACAUCCCAAGCGUGCCCUAUUCUAGUCUUCUGCCUUUAAAGUAUUGGCACCCCAAAGCAAUGCGGCCGUACAGGCUCUUCUCUUUGCACUGUUUAUCUCUAUGACGACAGCUAUGGCCCCGUCAGUUUUUGUUUGUUUGGGGAGGACGUUGUUAACUAUGCAGCAUCCUGGGCACCUCAUGAAACUGUCCUCUUUCUGACGGACGUUCGAGUGGUAAGGGCGCGAAAUGUUGCUUUGGCACUUUCGCUGACUCGUAAAGUCAUUUUUGCUUUGAGGUUAUUCGUAAUACUAGACUGCACCUUAAAAAAACAGCAAAAACUGUAAUAAUUGAGUCUCCUGAUAUUGAGGAAGCUUUGUUAUUACGGCGUUAUGCUAAGGAAAUUACCUCGAAGUUUUCAAAAGAUGGCGAACUUCAAGCAGUAAAUACUGCCUUUCUUCUGGAGCAAUUGCGUGAUCCGUAUUAUGUACUUUUUUUUAGAAACUUAAGCCGCUUCUCGCCCUCCCGAAAAAUUAUAGGAGGGGUCUGUUGUUCUCGAUGGCCUCCUGACACUCUUUCCUAUUGACGAUCCCUCCGUUACAAUAGUAACUGGAGGAGGUCACGUACCUAUAACAGAGGAGGCGUCAAGAGAGCCUUGCACUUACAGAUUUCGACUCAGCAUUUCUGAUCAACUCGGAACUCUGAAUUGUAGAAUUGGAAAUUCUGCAGCUAAAGAACUUCUUAAAAUUGAAGCGCCAGACUUUUUGGAAAAAGAUUAUAAGAAGCGGACUAUUCUAAAGUACACACAUUUGUUUGAAGCGUUUAAGUUUGUGCUAUCUAUAAGGUCUGUGCUGAGUCAAGGGCGUAGAGAAAUCACUGUAGUGGAGAUGCAACCCUUGGAAGGUGAGCGUCUCAAGUCUUUUAUGACAAACAACCCUUAAAGUUUUCUCUUGCC
This is a long non-coding RNA of Zophobas morio, 1146 nucleotides long. RefSeq lists it as uncharacterized. The transcript is spliced from 11 exons. The record is from RefSeq and is a predicted model, not a curated record. Lineage: Eukaryota; Metazoa; Arthropoda; Insecta; Coleoptera; Tenebrionidae.